GGAGAGGUGGCAGAGCGGUUGAUUGCACCGGUCUUGAAAACCGGCAGACCUUUACGGGUCUCGGGGGUUCAAAUCCCUCCCUCUCCGCCA
RNAcentral lists this transfer RNA (90 nucleotides) under Bdellovibrionales bacterium. RNAcentral's name for it is "tRNA-Ser". It matches the Rfam family "tRNA". Rfam says of the family: Transfer RNA (tRNA) molecules are approximately 80 nucleotides in length. Their secondary structure includes four short double-helical elements and three loops (D, anti-codon, and T loops). Further hydrogen bonds mediate the characteristic L-shaped molecular structure. tRNAs have two regions of fundamental functional importance: the anti-codon, which is responsible for specific mRNA codon recognition, and the 3' end, to which the tRNAs corresponding amino acid is attached (by aminoacyl-tRNA synthetases). tRNAs cope with the degeneracy of the genetic code in two manners: having more than one tRNA (with a specific anti-codon) for a particular amino acid; and 'wobble' base-pairing, i.e. permitting non-standard base-pairing at the 3rd anti-codon position. Lineage: Bacteria; Pseudomonadati; Bdellovibrionota; Bdellovibrionia; Bdellovibrionales. The record is from RNAcentral.